GGACUUUUUCUCUACUACUACAGAUGACUGGUACUAAAUAGAAGAAAAGCCUUUUUAGGGCGGUUACACAAUGGAGAAAAGACAUGGUUGCAAACCCACCUGACAAGAAAAUGUGUUCAAGAAUCCCUGAUGAGGCAAACUGAGGCCUAGGAGAGACACACAUCUGACCUGGCUCUGUGGAUCUGUUUCUAUUAAGUACCCAGCUACAGACUAGGACGAAAUCACUUUCACCAUCUUAUCUUCUCAAGAGCAGCUCCCUCUCUGACAAGCUGGUAGAUGCUCAGUAUCUGGAAAGGGUACACAGGAUGACUAUAUUUCUUGACCUUCCUUGUGGUUAGACUGGAACUAUAUGACUGGGUUUGGUGGACAGGGGCAGAAGUGAGUAAGCCAUCUCCAGGCCUAUCCUGAAAAACCUAUCUACCCACCUCCAAAGCAACCUGGAGGUCACAUGACCUAGAUGAUGUAGCUACAAGUUGGAAGAGGAUCAACCUCCAAAGGACUUCGUGUAAAAUAAACGUUUGUUGUGCUCA
Molecule: long non-coding RNA, 530 nt
Organism: Lemur catta (Ring-tailed lemur)
Lineage: Eukaryota; Metazoa; Chordata; Mammalia; Primates; Lemuridae
Exons: 3
Source: RefSeq, a predicted model, not a curated record